RNAcentral lists this ribosomal RNA (406 nucleotides) under uncultured bacterium. RNAcentral describes it as "partial 16S ribosomal RNA". It matches the Rfam family "Bacterial small subunit ribosomal RNA", at positions 30 to 526 of the family's 1533-position model. The record is from RNAcentral.
AUUGAACGCUGGCGGCAGGCCUAACACAUGCAAGUCGAACGAGUGGCGGACGGGAGAGUAAUGUCUGGGCCACUGCCUGAUGGAGGGGGAUAACUAAUGGAAACGGCAGCUAAUACCGCCUACCUUCGGAUGUGCCCAGAUGGGAUUUGCUAGUGGGUGGGGUAACCGCUCACCUAGGCGACGAUCCGUAGUUGGUCUGUGAGGAUGACCAGCCACACUGGAACUGAGACACGGUCCAGACUCCUACGGGAGGCAGCAGGGGGGAAUAUUGCACAAUGGGCGAAAGCCUGAUGCAGCCAUGCCGCGUGUGUGAAGAAGGCCGUCGGGUUGUAAAGCACUUUCAGCGGGGAGGCGUUACCAGCAGAAGAAGCACCGGCUAACUCCGUGCCAGCAGCCGCGGUAAUUC